GUCUGGAUAGCUCAGCUGGUUAGAGCGUGGUGCUGAUAAUGCCAAGGUUGCAGGUUCGAUCCCUGUAUGGGACA
Molecule: non-coding RNA, 74 nt
Organism: Podarcis lilfordi (Lilford's wall lizard)
Lineage: Eukaryota; Metazoa; Chordata; Lepidosauria; Squamata; Lacertidae
Source: the annotation of a GenBank genome assembly